CCUUGCAAAGAGUUGACUAAAAGAUGCCAUGUUUGUGAGCCCUGUCCAUACUUCGCGCAACGCUUGCCUUCGGGCUGCGGGUGGAUGAAAGCUGAGUGGAGAUGGAAAAUAUCCAGUUUACUCUUUUGAUUUAGUCAGAAAACAUGUGAGAAAGUGUGCCUCUUCGCACUCAGUGUAAUUUCAGAAAUAGAGAAAUUUCUCUGCUCCGCCCUGCUCAAUGCCGUUGAUGAUUCUAGCGGCUCCGCCGUCAGGAGAGAUAAUACCACGGAUUUAUAUAGCAGGGUUUCAAGAAAAUGGGACUUUUCAACAUGAGCUAUAUAACCCUAGGGAGCCUAAAGUCUCGUGGUGUUCCCUGCCUUUCCAUUAUAGAUCUCCAGGGUAUGGUCAUCAGUAGUUACCAUGUUGUUUUCUCAAUAAAUUUUUGUUGUGUUCUCCAUAUAUACAACUUAUUGAACUUUUGGUGAAAUUGAGAGAACGGACCCACUUGAAGGAGUUAUCCAACACAAUCUGAAUUUCCGACCUCAGUCGUACAAUAAUGAUCCUCCCCCUUCGACUUUAGAACGUGGUGGAAGUGGCUGGGGUAGAGAUGGUUGUGGUAUCGCACAAGGGGGUGGUAGAGUUGUCAACAAUAGCCAAGGAGCCACAUCCGCCUAAAGACUUGAAGGAAUGAAUUUUUUUGGAAUUGAAUUUUUUUUUCUUCCUCUCAUGAUUGAGUUGAAGACUUGUAUGCAUGUGCUGGU
RNAcentral lists this small RNA (740 nucleotides) under Histoplasma ohiense. RNAcentral's name for it is "hypothetical lncRNA". Lineage: Eukaryota; Fungi; Ascomycota; Eurotiomycetes; Onygenales; Ajellomycetaceae. The record is from RNAcentral.